GGUUAAGCGACUAAGCGUACACGGUGGAUGCCCUGGCAGUCAGAGGCGAUGAAGGACGUGCUAAUCUGCGAUAAGCGUCGGUAAGGUGAUAUGAACCGUUAUAACCGGCGAUUUCCGAAUGGGGAAACCCAGUGUGAUUCGUCACACUAUCAUUAACUGAAUCCAUAGGUUAAUGAGGCGAACCGGGGGAACUGAAACAUCUAAGUACCCCGAGGAAAAGAAAUCAACCGAGAUUCCCCCAGUAGCGGCGAGCGAACGGGGAGCAGCCCAGAGCCUGAAUCAGUGUGUGUGUUAGUGGAAGCGUCUGGAAAGGCGCGCGAUACAGGGUGACAGCCCCGUACACAAAAAUGCACAUACUGUGAGCUCGAUGAGUAGGGCGGGACACGUGGUAUCCUGUCUGAAUAUGGGGGGACCAUCCUCCAAGGCUAAAUACUCCUGACUGACCGAUAGUGAACCAGUACCGUGAGGGAAAGGCGAAAAGAACCCCGGUGAGGGGAGUGAAAAAGAACCUGAAACCGUGUACGUACAAGCAGUGGGAGCCUCUUUAUGGGGUGACUGCGUACCUUUUGUAUAAUGGGUCAGCGACUUAUAUUCUGUAGCAAGGUUAACCGAAUAGGGGAGCCGAAGGGAAACCGAGUCUUAACUGGGCGUUAAGUUGCAGGGUAUAGACCCGAAACCCGGUGAUCUAGCCAUGGGCAGGUUGAAGGUUGGGUAACACUAACUGGAGGACCGAACCGACUAAUGUUGAAAAAUUAGCGGAUGACUUGUGGCUGGGGGUGAAAGGCCAAUCAAACCGGGAGAUAGCUGGUUCUCCCCGAAAGCUAUUUAGGUAGCGCCUCGUGAAUUCAUCUCCGGGGGUAGAGCACUGUUUCGGCAAGGGGGUCAUCCCGACUUACCAACCCGAUGCAAACUGCGAAUACCGGAGAAUGUUAUCACGGGAGACACACGGCGGGUGCUAACGUCCGUCGUGAAGAGGGAAACAACCCAGACCGCCAGCUAAGGUCCCAAAGUCAUGGUUAAGUGGGAAACGAUGUGGGAAGGCCCAGACAGCCAGGAUGUUGGCUUAGAAGCAGCCAUCAUUUAAAGAAAGCGUAAUAGCUCACUGGUCGAGUCGGCCUGCGCGGAAGAUGUAACGGGGCUAAACCAUGCACCGAAGCUGCGGCAGCGACACUGUGUGUUGUUGGGUAGGGGAGCGUUCUGUAAGCCUGCGAAGGUGUACUGUGAGGUAUGCUGGAGGUAUCAGAAGUGCGAAUGCUGACAUAAGUAACGAUAAAGCGGGUGAAAAGCCCGCUCGCCGGAAGACCAAGGGUUCCUGUCCAACGUUAAUCGGGGCAGGGUGAGUCGACCCCUAAGGCGAGGCCGAAAGGCGUAGUCGAUGGGAAACAGGUUAAUAUUCCUGUACUUGGUGUUACUGCGAAGGGGGGACGGAGAAGGCUAUGUUGGCCGGGCGACGGUUGUCCCGGUUUAAGCGUGUAGGCUGAUUUUCCAGGCAAAUCCGGAAAAUCAAGGCUGAGGCGUGAUGACGAGGCACUACGGUGCUGAAGCAACAAAUGCCCUGCUUCCAGGAAAAGCCUCUAAGCAUCAGGUAACAUCAAAUCGUACCCCAAACCGACACAGGUGGUCAGGUAGAGAAUACCAAGGCGCUUGAGAGAACUCGGGUGAAGGAACUAGGCAAAAUGGUGCCGUAACUUCGGGAGAAGGCACGCUGAUAUGUAGGUGAAGUCCCUCGCGGAUGGAGCUGAAAUCAGUCGAAGAUACCAGCUGGCUGCAACUGUUUAUUAAAAACACAGCACUGUGCAAACACGAAAGUGGACGUAUACGGUGUGACGCCUGCCCGGUGCCGGAAGGUUAAUUGAUGGGGUUAGCGGUAACGCGAAGCUCUUGAUCGAAGCCCCGGUAAACGGCGGCCGUAACUAUAACGGUCCUAAGGUAGCGAAAUUCCUUGUCGGGUAAGUUCCGACCUGCACGAAUGGCGUAAUGAUGGCCAGGCUGUCUCCACCCGAGACUCAGUGAAAUUGAACUCGCUGUGAAGAUGCAGUGUACCCGCGGCAAGACGGAAAGACCCCGUGAACCUUUACUAUAGCUUGACACUGAACAUUGAGCCUUGAUGUGUAGGAUAGGUGGGAGGCUUUGAAGUGUGGACGCCAGUCUGCAUGGAGCCGGCCUUGAAAUACCACCCUUUAAUGUUUGAUGUUCUAACGUUGGCCCCUGAUCGGGGUUGCGGACAGUGUCUGGUGGGUAGUUUGACUGGGGCGGUCUCCUCCUAAAGAGUAACGGAGGAGCACGAAGGUUGGCUAAUCCUGGUCGGACAUCAGGAGGUUAGUGCAAUGGCAUAAGCCAGCUUGACUGCGAGCGUGACGGCGCGAGCAGGUGCGAAAGCAGGUCAUAGUGAUCCGGUGGUUCUGAAUGGAAGGGCCAUCGCUCAACGGAUAAAAGGUACUCCGGGGAUAACAGGCUGAUACCGCCCAAGAGUUCAUAUCGACGGCGGUGUUUGGCACCUCGAUGUCGGCUCAUCACAUCCUGGGGCUGAAGUAGGUCCCAAGGGUAUGGCUGUUCGCCAUUUAAAGUGGUACGCGAGCUGGGUUUAGAACGUCGUGAGACAGUUCGGUCCCUAUCUGCCGUGGGCGCUGGAGAACUGAGGGGGGCUGCUCCUAGUACGAGAGGACCGGAGUGGACGCAUCACUGGUGUUCGGGUUGUCAUGCCAAUGGCACUGCCCGGUAGCUAAAUGCGGAAGAGAUAAGUGCUGAAAGCAUCUAAGCACGAAACUUGCCCCGAGAUGAGUUCUCCCUGACUCCUUGAGAGUCCUGAAGGAACGUUGAAGACGACGACGUUGAUAGGCCGGGUGUGUAAGCGCAGCGAUGCGUUGAGCUAACCGGUACUAAUGAACCGUGAGGCUUAACCUU
RNAcentral lists this ribosomal RNA (2904 nucleotides) under Escherichia coli SMS-3-5. RNAcentral's name for it is "bacterial LSU rRNA". It matches the Rfam family "Bacterial large subunit ribosomal RNA". Lineage: Bacteria; Pseudomonadati; Pseudomonadota; Gammaproteobacteria; Enterobacterales; Enterobacteriaceae. The record is from RNAcentral.